AGCACUGCUCUAUAUUUUCAAGACAUCUAGGGGAUAAAUAACUAACUCCGUAAAAUUUGUAUGGGUAUGUCAGCUGUCCCAUCAGCUGUUUUAUUUCGCGUGGCUUCGGAUUGAGGAUGGAUGCUUAAACGAACGUAUCUGUUCUUGAAAUUUAACCACCGAUUCCUUGUGUUUUGAGCUGCGCCUUGUGAAUUUGAUCAAUGCAGAGUUGUUCAAGGAGGAGCAUGAUUUGGCUUUCUAGCACGUUUUUCAUCUCAGUUAGUCUAAUACACCCAUUUUGAACCAAAGGUCUUCGGGAUGUACCUGAUGUACUCUGGUGGCCAAAGAAUCAUUCAGUGACUUGGUCCAAUCCAGGACUUGGUUUUUUCAAAAGUGAUUUACAUUUUUAAUUUGCAGAGAACCUCAAGGUACCUGAUGUGUUGGAUUGGUGUUGGAGUAACUUGGUGACAGAAUGGAAUGCGACCAAUGUUAUGUUGUCAGUGUAAAUAAACAUAUCCAGUAUCA
This is a long non-coding RNA of Daphnia magna, 504 nucleotides long. RefSeq lists it as uncharacterized. The transcript has 3 exons. The record is from RefSeq and is a predicted model, not a curated record. NCBI's taxonomy places the organism in Eukaryota, Metazoa, Arthropoda, Branchiopoda, Diplostraca, Daphniidae.